RNAcentral lists this ribosomal RNA (438 nucleotides) under uncultured bacterium. RNAcentral describes it as "partial 16S ribosomal RNA". It matches the Rfam family "Bacterial small subunit ribosomal RNA", at positions 355 to 803 of the family's 1533-position model. The record is from RNAcentral.
UGGGGAAUAUUGCACAAUGGGCGCAAGCCUGAUGCAGCAACGCCGCGUGAGGGAUGACGGCCUUCGGGUUGUAAACCUCUUUUAGUAGGGAAGAAGCGAAAGUGACGGUACCUGCAGAAAAAAGCACCGGCUAACUACGUGCCAGCAGCCGCGGUAAUACGUAGGGUGCGAGCGUUGUCCGGAAUUAUUGGGCGUAAAGAGCUCGUAGGCGGUCUGUCGCGUCUGCUGUGAAAAACCCGAGGCUCAACCUCGGGCCUGCAGUGGGUACGGGCAGACUAGAGUGCGGUAGGGGAGAAUGGAAUUCCUGGUGUAGCGGUGGAAUGCGCAGAUAUCAGGAGGAACACCGAUGGCGAAGGCAGUUCUCUGGGCCGUAACUGACGCUGAGGAGCGAAAGCGUGGGGAGCGAACAGGAUUAGAUACCCUGGUAGUCCACGCCGU